This 149-nucleotide unclassified non-coding RNA is filed under the name fungal sp. RNAcentral describes it as "partial internal transcribed spacer region". Lineage: Eukaryota; Fungi. The record is from RNAcentral.
AAGUCGUAACAAGGUUUCCGUAGGUCACCGGCCGGCAGACAUGUCACAGGGCGUGCGCGCCCCCUCAUUCACCCCUUGCCCUCUCAAGCCUCGCGGAAACGCCGGGCAUAAAAACCGAACAACUGUUAACAAUGGAUAUCUUGGUUCUC